Ipomoea nil (Japanese morning glory) is the source of this 139-nucleotide long non-coding RNA. RefSeq lists it as uncharacterized. The transcript is spliced from 3 exons. NCBI's taxonomy places the organism in Eukaryota, Viridiplantae, Streptophyta, Magnoliopsida, Solanales, Convolvulaceae. The record is from RefSeq and is a predicted model, not a curated record.
ACGAAUCCAUUCGGAAGCUGUCAAAACGGGCCCAACCCGUCGGGCUGGGCCCGUUUACCCGUAGUUUUGGACGGGUUGGGUGGGAGAAAUCCCAACCCGUCCCGUUUUCGGCCCGUCCCGUUUAACCCGUGUUGGGCAC